AUUGAACGCUGGCGGCAGGCCUAACACAUGCAAGUCGAGCGGAUGAAGGGAGCUUGCUCCUGGAUUCAGCGGCGGACGGGUGUGUAAUGCCUAGGAAUCUGCCUGGUAGUGGGGGAUAACGUCCGGAAACGGGCGCUAAUACCGCAUACGUCCUGAGGGAGAAAGUUGGGGAUCUUCGGACCUCACGCUAUCAGAUGAGCCUAGGUCGGAUUAGCUAGCUGGUGGGUUACAGGCCUACCAAGGCGACGAUCGGUAACUGGUCUGAGAGAAUGACCGGUCACACGGGAACUGAGACACGGUCCAGACUCCUACGGGAGGCAGCAGUGGGGAAUAUUGGACAAUGGGCGAAAGCCUGAUCCAGCCAGGCCGCGUGUGUGAAGAAGGUCUUCGGAUUGUAAAGCACUUUAAGUUGGGAGGAAGGGCAGUAAGUUAAUACCUUGCUGUUUUGACGUUACCAACAGAAUAAGCACCGGCUAACUUCGUG
Molecule: ribosomal RNA, 484 nt
Filed under: uncultured bacterium
Lineage: Bacteria
Description: partial 16S ribosomal RNA
Rfam family: Bacterial small subunit ribosomal RNA
Source: RNAcentral